GAUGAACGCUAGCGGCAGGCCUAAUACAUGCAAGUCGGACGGGAUCCAUUGAUAGCUUGCUAUCAAUGGUGAGAGUGGCGCACGGGUGCGUAACGCGUGAGCAACCUGCCUCCAUCAGGGGGAUAGCCUCUCGAAAGAGAGAUUAACACCGCAUAAUAUCAACAGUUCGCAUGUUCAGUUGAUUAAAUAUUUAUAGGAUGGAGAUGGGCUCGCGUGACAUUAGCUAGUUGGUAGGGUAACGGCUUACCAAGGCGACGAUGUCUAGGGGCUCUGAGAGGAGGAACCCCCACACUGGUACUGAGACACGGACCAGACUCCUACGGGAGGCAGCAGUAAGGAAUAUUGGUCAAUGGGCGGAAGCCUGAACCAGCCAUGCCGCGUGCAGGAUGACUGCCCUAUGGGUUGUAAACUGCUUUUGUCCAGGAAUAAACCUAAAUACGAGUAUUUAGCUGAAUGUACUGGAAGAAUAAGGAUCGGCUAACUCCGUG
This 488-nucleotide ribosomal RNA is filed under the name uncultured bacterium. RNAcentral describes it as "partial 16S ribosomal RNA". It matches the Rfam family "Bacterial small subunit ribosomal RNA", at positions 28 to 507 of the family's 1533-position model. The record is from RNAcentral.